RNAcentral lists this ribosomal RNA (301 nucleotides) under uncultured bacterium. RNAcentral's name for it is "partial 16S ribosomal RNA". It matches the Rfam family "Bacterial small subunit ribosomal RNA", at positions 509 to 807 of the family's 1533-position model. The record is from RNAcentral.
CAGCAGCCGCGGGAAUACGGAGGGGGCUAGCGUUGUUCGGAAUUACUGGGCGUAAAGCGCACGUAGGCGGCUUGGUAAGUUAGAGGUGAAAGCCUGGAGCUCAACUCCAGAAUUGCCUUUAAGACUGCCGAGCUAGCAGGUGAGAGAGGUAAGUGGAAUUCCGAGUGUAGAGGUAAAAUUCGUAGAUAUUCGGAAGAACACCAGUGGCGAAGGCGGCUUACUGGCUCAUACUGGACGCUGAGGUGCGAAAGCGUGGGGAGCAAACAGGAUUAGAUACCCGUGUAGUCCCUGUCUCUUAUAC